AGUGAACGCUGGCGGUAGGCCUAACACAUGCAAGUCGAACGGCAGCACAGUAAGAGCUUGCUCUUACGGGUGGCGAGUGGCGGACGGGUGAGGAAUACAUCGGAAUCUACUUUUUCGUGGGGGAUAACGUAGGGAAACUUACGCUAAUACCGCAUACGACCUACGGGUGAAAGCAGGGGAUCUUCGGACCUUGCGCGAUUGAAUGAGCCGAUGUCGGAUUAGCUAGUUGGCGGGGUAAAGGCCCACCAAGGCGACGAUCCGUAGCUGGUCUGAGAGGAUGAUCAGACACACUGGAACUGAGACACGGUCCAGACUCCUACGGGAGGCAGCAGUGGGGAAUAUUGGACAAUGGGCGCAAGCCUGAUCCAGCCAUACCGCGUGGGUGAAGAAGGCCUUCGGGUUGUAAAGCCCUUUUGUUGGGAAAGAAAAGCAGCAGGUUAAUACCACGCUGUUCUGACGGUACCCAAAGAAUAAGCACCGGCUAACUUCGUG
Molecule: ribosomal RNA, 492 nt
Filed under: uncultured bacterium
Lineage: Bacteria
Description: partial 16S ribosomal RNA
Rfam family: Bacterial small subunit ribosomal RNA
Source: RNAcentral